RNAcentral lists this ribosomal RNA (810 nucleotides) under uncultured bacterium. RNAcentral's name for it is "bacterial SSU rRNA". It matches the Rfam family "Bacterial small subunit ribosomal RNA", at positions 8 to 796 of the family's 1533-position model. The record is from RNAcentral.
AGAGUUUGAUCCUGGCUCAGAACGAACGCUGGCGGCGUGGAUAAGACAUGCAAGUCGAGCGGGAUUUUUUCCUGUAGCAAUACAGGGAAAAGUCUAGCGGCGAACGGGUGCUUAACACGUGGGCAACCUGCCAAGAAGUGGGGGAUAGCUCGCCGAAAGGCGAAUUAAUACCGCAUGUGAUCAGAAUGGACAUCCAUUCAAAAUUAAAGUCGGGGCAACCUGACGCUUCUUGAGGGGCCCGCGGCCUAUCAGCUAGUUGGUGGGGUAACGGCCCACCAAGGCUUAGACGGGUAGCUGGUCUGAGAGGACGACCAGCCACACUGGGACUGAGACACGGCCCAGACACCUACGGGUGGCAGCAGUCGAGAAUUUUUCUCAAUGGGGGAAACCCUGAAGGAGCGACGCCGCGUGGAGGAUGAAGGUCUUCGGAUUGUAAACUCCUGUCAUUGGGGAACAAUGCGCAAAUAUUAACUGUAUUUGCGUUGAUAGUACCCGAAGAGGAAGAGACGGCUAACUCUGUGCCAGCAGCCGCGGUAAUACAGAGGUCUCAAGCGUUGUUCGGAUUCAUUGGGCGUAAAGGGUGCGUAGGCGGCGCGGUAAGUCGGGUGUGAAAUCUCGGAGCUUAACUCCGAAACGGCAUUCGAUACUGCCGUGCUUGAGGACUGGAGAGGAGACUGGAAUUUACGGUGUAGCGGUGAAAUGCGUAGAUAUCGUAAGGAAGACCAGUGGCGAAGGCGGGUCUCUGGACAGUUCCUGACGCUGAGGCACGAAGGCCAGGGGAGCAAACGGGAUUAGAUACCCCAGUAGUCC